AGCUGUAUGGCCGAGAGGUUAAGGCGGUGGACUUAAGAUCCACUCCCGUGCGGGAUCGUGGGUUCGAACCCCACUGCAGCUA
This 82-nucleotide transfer RNA is filed under the name Coemansia spiralis. RNAcentral describes it as "tRNA-Leu". It matches the Rfam family "tRNA". From Rfam's summary of the family: Transfer RNA (tRNA) molecules are approximately 80 nucleotides in length. Their secondary structure includes four short double-helical elements and three loops (D, anti-codon, and T loops). The record is from RNAcentral. Lineage: Eukaryota; Fungi; Kickxellomycota; Kickxellomycetes; Kickxellales; Kickxellaceae.